Molecule: long non-coding RNA, 254 nt
Filed under: Nicotiana benthamiana
Lineage: Eukaryota; Viridiplantae; Streptophyta; Magnoliopsida; Solanales; Solanaceae
Description: long non-coding RNA (NBEN_LNC042415)
Source: RNAcentral
UCAUUGAAGAGGAAUAAAAAAAUUGGUAGUUUUCCUAUCAAGUACCUGGAUGUUUUCUUGUCCCUCAAGAGAAUAAAGAGAGAACCUUCCUCUACUGGAGAAAAUGAAAAAGAGAAUCUCAGAUUGGAAAAGCAAAUUGUUGUCCUCCGGAGGUCGACUAAGGCUUCUUAAACAUGUUCUAGUCUUCCUAUGCACAUGUGAAAGUUUUUUCCUGAAUUAGCCGGCCCACACUUCGGCUACUAAUAAUGGGAUAA